AUUGAACGCUGGCGGCAGGCCUAACACAUGCAAGUCGAGCGAGCGGCGGACGGGUGAGUAAUGUAUGGGGACUGCCCGAUAGAGGGGGAUAACUACUGGACACGGUGGCUAAUACCGCAUACUGUCGGAUAACCCAUAUGGGAUUAGCUAGUAGGUAAGGUAAUGGCUUACCUAGGCGACGAUCCCUAGCUGGUCUGGACGGAUGAUCAGCCACGUUGGGAUUGAGACACGGCCCAGAUUCCUACGGAGGAAGCAUUGGGGAAUAUGGCACAAUGGGCGCAAGCCUGCUGCAGCCAUGCCGAGGGUAUGAGGAAGGCCCUAGGGUUGUAAAGUACUUUCAGUCGGGAGGCGUUGCCGACAGAAGAAGCACCGGCUAAAUCCGUGCCAGCAGCCGCGGUAAUUC
RNAcentral lists this ribosomal RNA (403 nucleotides) under uncultured bacterium. RNAcentral's name for it is "partial 16S ribosomal RNA". It matches the Rfam family "Bacterial small subunit ribosomal RNA", at positions 30 to 526 of the family's 1533-position model. The record is from RNAcentral.